RNAcentral lists this ribosomal RNA (844 nucleotides) under Cryptosporidium felis. Its description in RNAcentral is "partial small subunit ribosomal RNA". It matches the Rfam family "Eukaryotic small subunit ribosomal RNA", at positions 188 to 1043 of the family's 1831-position model. Lineage: Eukaryota; Apicomplexa; Conoidasida; Eucoccidiorida; Cryptosporidiidae. The record is from RNAcentral.
GGGAUGAGAGGGUGUGUGUAUAUUAGAAUAAAGAAACCCAAAUAUUUUUUUUUUGGUGACUCCAUAAUAACUUUACGGAUCACAAUAAUUUAUUUUUGUGACAUAUCAUUCAAGUUUCUGACCUAUCAGCUUUAGACGGUAGGGUAUUGGCCUACCGUGGCUAUGACGGGUAACGGGGAAUUAGGGUUCGAUUCCGGAGAGGGAGCCUGAGAAACGGCUACCACAUCUAAGGAAGGCAGCAGGCGCGCAAAUUUCCCAAUCCUAAUUCAGGGAGGUAGUGACAAGAAAUAACAAUACAGGACUUUACGGUUUUGUAAUUGGAAUGAGUUAAGUAUAAACCCCUUUACAAGUAUCAAUUGGAGGGCAAGUCUGGGGCCAACAGCCGCGGUAAUUCCAGCUCCAAUAGCGUAUAUUAAAGUUGUUGCAGUUAAAAAACUUGUAAUUGGAUUUUUGUUAAUUCCUUAUAAAUAAUUUUUUUUUUUAAAUAUUAUUAUGUAAGAUUAACAUAAUUCAUAUUUUUUAAGACUGAAUUUUUAGUUUUGAUAAUAUGAAAUUUUACUUUGAGAAAAUUAGAGUGCUUAAAGCAGGCUUUUGCCUUGAAUACUCCAGCAUGGAAUAAUAAUAAAAGAUUUUUAUCUUUUUUUUAUUGGUUCUAAGAUAAAAAUAAUGAUUAAUAGGGACAGUUGGGGGCAUUUGUAUUUAACAGUCAGAGGUGAUAUUCUUAGAUUUGUUAAAGACAAACUAAUGCGAAAGCAUUUGCCAAGGAUGUUUUCAUUAAUCAAGAACGAAAGUUAGGGGAUCGAAGACGAUCAGAUACCGUCGUAGUCUAACCAUAAACAUCAGG